RNAcentral lists this long non-coding RNA (6282 nucleotides) under Setaria italica (foxtail millet). RNAcentral's name for it is "long non-coding RNA (SITA_LNC000248)". The record is from RNAcentral. Lineage: Eukaryota; Viridiplantae; Streptophyta; Magnoliopsida; Poales; Poaceae.
ACCUGUUUUGAAAAAUAUAAGCUCAGAAUACCACCUGUUUUGAAAAUAUAAGCUCAGAACACAUACUCAGAGCAGUAGGUAAAAUGCUUGUGCGCCCGGAUUCCCUCAAACACGCAAAGAUAAACAAACUACACAUCUCACAAACACCAAACAAGAUCAGCAGUGCUUCUCUUUUUUGUUUACAGAGGCAACCAUAUCAAACAAAUAUAUUUUUGAAAACUACAGCAGUAUAAGUACAACUUUCUAUGUCACACAUAAUUAAUUUUGGCCAUUAAGGCAAUCUAAACCUUCUCUGAACAAGACUGACUUGUCACCAACUUAGAAAAAAACAUAUCUGAAGUUAUACUUAGUUGAAAAAAUUUGUAGCAUACAUGGAUAUAAAACUUGUGAAAAACACAACAGAACUAAUAUGAUUUUGGGAACCAUUGUCUACUGAAAGGUGCCUAAAACAAGGAAAUACAGAUCGCUAUCAGAGAACGCUGCCUUUUCCAGCAGUCAACUUGCAGCCAUGAUAUCUCAAAAACUACUGGGCUAAAAAAGAAUGAGAAAGGAAUUGUUUACAACUUUUCCAACUAUUGACCAUAGCAAUGAUAUGGCUAGUUUAUUGGGCAAGGAGUACAAUAGCAGACAGGUACCUACUCGCCCUCCCUAGGAGGCUCUGAGUUUAGGAUCUGUUCCUGCUUGAUCCUAACCUAUGGCGCCUAGGGCCCUUAUAUAUUGGUUCAGCCAACAAUCCUUAACUGACUAGGACUCAACUCUAAUCUAACUAGGACUCUAUCUCCAAUCUAAUUCUGUUACAAUUCUUAACCAACUAGGAGUCUAAUCCUUAUCUAAUUCUAACUGAUCUGCUGAAUCUGGAUUAGCUGCCCCUUUGUUCCUUCGGUGGAACUUCUUACCAAAGAAGUUGUCCACAACACUUCCGCCCCCCUGAUAGAAAAGCUCGUCCUCGAGCUUGAAAUCAGGGUAACUCUCCUUGAAUUGGUCGAGCUGCUCCCAAGUGGCAUCAGCAGCAUCAUGACCUGCCCAUUGCACCAGAAGGUCCCAAGACGAGGCUGUAGGCUUAGCGCGCACCACCUUCUCUGGAACAGGAACUGCACGGCCAUGAACCAUAGGCGGCAGUGACACAAUCUGAGCAGGGACAGGACCCUGGUGUUUCUUCAGGAAGGCUACAUGGAAAACAUCAUGAAUUCGAGCCCUGGGUGGCAGGCGAAGACGAUAAGCCACCUGCCCAAUACGUUCAAUCACUUGAAAUGAACCGUAGAAACGAGGAGCAAGCUUGGCAUUGGUUUUGUCCAAUGCCACCACACGCUGCACAAGCUGCUUAUCCAAUGCCACCACACGGGCCAAUCCUGGCUGGUAGGACAACAGGGAAGGCGGAUCACGGCCAAACACCACCCGGAAUGGCGUGCAUUGCAAGGUGGACUGAUACGAAGUGUUAUAACAGUACUCAGCCCAAGGCAACCAGCGCAGCCAACUGCGAGGACGAUCACCCGCCAAGCAACGAAGAUACACGCCUAGAACCCGAUUAGUCACCUCAGAUUGACCAUCUGUUUGCGGUCGGAACGCAGAACUGAGGCGCAAUUUGAUGCCGGCGAGGCUGAACAACUCCUUCCAUAAAGCACUAGUGAAAACUGGAUCACGGUCACUAACGAUGGAGCAUGGGAGCCCAUGGAGGCGCACGAUGCCAUCAAAGAAAGCCUGAGCCACAGACAGGGCUGUGUAGGGAUGUCCCAAGGCAAUGAAGUGCACCAUCUUGGAGAAACGGUCGACCACUGUGAGCACAACAGACCGGCCGCCUACUUUUGGAAACCCCUCAACAAAAUCCAUUGCAAUGUCGCUCCAAACGGACUGAGGAACAUCCAAAGGCUGCAGCAAUCCCGCCGGAUGAAGGUGCUCUGUCUUGUUUCGCUGACAAACAGCACAGCCCCGAACAUAAUCGCGGACUAAUUUGGGUGCAUGCGGACUGUAGAAUGAAAAGCGCAGUCGAUGGAGUGUUUUCUGGGUACCUUCAUGGCCAGCGCCAUGGGCGGCAGCAAGGAGUUGCGGCCAUAGGGCCGAAGAAUCAGGAACAAAAAUUCUACCCCGAUGCAUGACAAAUCCAUCCACAACAGACCAUGCUGCUCUUGCUGUCCCAUCUGCAAUCUCCUGCUUCUUAGCCUGCACAUCCGGCAAAGAGGACGCCUCCUCCCUGAAUUCGUUGAAUAGAGCAAACUCCGGGCGAGAGAUGGCAUGGACGUGGCUGGUUACCUCCUGUUCAUCCCGGCGAGAUAACGCAUUAGCGGCAGCGUUCUGUUUCCCGGGUUUAUAUUCAACCUGGAAGCUGUAGCCAAAUAGCUUGUUGACCCAUGUGUGUUGUGGUAUGGUGGACAGGCGCUGGUCAAGGAGAUGCUUUAAGCUGCAGUGAUCUGUGCGAAUGAUGAACUCCCGGACCCAAAGAUAUGGCCACCAAUGCCUUACUGCCUGAACCAAUCCAAUUAACUCCCGUUCAUAGGCCGCGAGUUUAGCAUGCUGAGAGGCGACUGUCUUGCUGAAAAAAGCAAUAGGCCCUGCGCCUUGAUGCAACACAGCUCCAAAACCAGAUCCGGAUGCGUCACAGUCCACAAUAAAGGGCUUAUCAAAAUCUGGAAGCUGCAUUACAGGACCUGUUGUGAGGGCAGCCUUGAGUGCCUCAAAAGUUGUCGUUGCCUCUGAACUCCACACAAAGGCAUCCCUCUUCAGAAGCGUCGUUAACGGGGCGCAAUGAGGUCGUAGUUGGCGAUGAACCGGCGAUAGUACCCGGUGAGCCCAAGAAAUCCCCGCAACGCCUUGACAGACCGAGGACGGGGCUAAGAUUGGACAGCCGCAAUUUUUCAGUAUCCAUGGCCACAGCGUCGUCAGCGAUGACAUGUCCCAAAUAAUGCACCCGACGUUCCCCAAAGAGGCACUUGGAUCGCUUGAGGACGAGGCCGUGCUCGCGGAGGACGGAGAACACGGCGCGAACAUGCUGCAGGUGCUCGGUCCAGGACCUGCUGUAAAUCAGGAUGUCGUCGAAGAAGACGAGAAUGCAGUAGCGGAGGAACGGAUGAAGAACCUCGUUCAUCAAUGCUUGGAAUGUGGAUGGCGCAUUGGUGAGGCCAAAUGGCAUGACCAGGAACUCGAAGUGGCCGUGGUGGGUGCGGAACGCCGUCUUCACCACAUCGUCGGGGUGCAUCCGCACUUGGUGAUAGCCGCUGCGAAGGUCGAGCUUGGUGAAGAAAACAGCGCCCUUGAGCUCAUCCAGGAGCUCCUCCACCACCGGAAUUGGAAACUUGUCGCGGACGGUCUUGAGGUUGAGGGCGCGGUAGUCAACACAGAAGCGCCACGUGCCGUCCCCUUUGCGCACCAAAAGCACUGGCGAGGAGAACGCUGACAUACUGGGGUGGAUGAUCCCUUGCUCGAGCAUGGCCUGGCAUUGGGCCUCAAUCUCAUCCUUCAAAAGCUGCGGAUAGCGAUACGGGCGCACCGCCACUGGAGAAGUACCCGGGAGAAGAUGAAUGCGGUGGUCGAAGGCGCGCGGCAGAGGCAGCCCUGACGGUGUCGAGAAUAAAUCAGCAAACUCCUCCAAUAGUAGCCCAAGCAGAUCCAAUGACUGAGUGACAGCUAGCCGUGGGGAAGGCCGGCCAUUGACCCCGAACCACUUGACGCGAUGGUCCUGGCGCCAGAAAGCCAUGGACAGCCGGGUGAAGUCCCAGAGGAUAGGCCCCAAGGUGCGAAGCCAGUCGCACCCCAGGACGAGCUCGUAGCCGCCGAGCGGGAUGACGAACAGGUUGACGUAGAACUCCUCCUGGGCGAUGUGGAUGAUGACGUUUCGGCAUACACCGGCGGAAGGAACGCGGUCGCCGUUGGCGACGCCGACAGUGAGGCCUGGUCGCACCUUUGGAGUGAGCCCAAGCCGGGCGGCAGUGUCCGCGGCGAUGAACGAGUGGGUGGACCCUGAAUCCACCAAGGCCGUGAGGCCCACGGCCUGGACAACGGUGGCAAGCUGCAAGGUGGAGCUCGUCUGGAUGCCUGUGAUAGCGUUGAGGGAGAUGGACGGCUCGUCUUCCCCUGAGCCGUCCGAAGCGGCGGCGUCGUCAUCCAGCUCCAUCCAGUAGAUGCCCUUCAUCGAGCACUGCUUGGCGUGUUCCCUUGAAAACUUCUCUGGACAAUUGAAACACAGCCCCUCGAGGCGCCGCUGCGCCAUCUCCUCCGGAGAGAGGCGUGUGAAACGGGCGCCUGGUGGCGCCGCAGGCUUGACAGGAGAGCUUGGUGUUGAAGACGCCAUAGAAGAGGCUGGCGGUGUAGCAGGGGGCUUGGCCGGGGCUGAGGAGAACGAACGAGUGCGGGAGGAGGGGCGCGUCGCGUGUAUCAGGGAGCGAGCGCCCUCGUCGACCACCUGGUUGCGGCGCUCGAAGGCACGCACCAGUGCCAUGGCGUCCUCCAACAUCUUAGGCUUGUUCAUCUCCACAUCGAUGCUCAUGGGUUGCAGGAGGUCGGCGGAGAAGAUGGCGAUCUGCUGCUGUUCGGUGACGCCCUCGCAUCGCGCCAGGAGUUUAAGGAACUGCUCCUGGUAGUCGUCGACAGAGCCCGUGCGGCGAAGAUGGGCCAGCUCGCCGAGGGGGUUGCUGCGUACCGGCGGUCCAAACCUCUUGUUGACGCCCUCGACGAAAGCCGGCCAAGUAGGGAUGCCACGAUUCUUUUCCAAGCGGUAGUACCACUGUCCCGCGGCGCCCUCCAAAUAGAACGUCGUCGUCCAAACCUUCUGAUUUUCCAGCAUGUCCUGGGAGCGAAAGAAUUGCUCGCACUUGUGCAGCCAGCCCAGGGGGUCGUCGGAGCCGUCGUACUUGGGGAAGCGGAGCUUAUGCAUGGGCGGUGGCGGCGGCCCAUACUUCCCGUCGCCCCCGGAGGAGGAACCAAUAGUGUCGAAGCGUCCGUUCUUCUCCAGAACCUGAUUCUAGACAUUGGUAAUGGAGGAGGCGAGACGCCCUUGUUCCUAGCAGACAGAUCCCAAUUCUCUGUCAAGCUGCAUGCUGAUCUCGUUCAUCUUGGUGAUCAUCUUGGCGACGGCAUCAUCAAAGACAGCCUAGGUGACAAAGGAAUCGCCCAUUGUUGCGGUGGGAGCGAUGGGGUUGGCGGCGCGCAGGGAAUAUGGGGUGUGGUGGAUCUGCAAUUGGUGGCAGGUAGAAACCAAGGAAGGUCCCAGCUGAUACCAAAGAUGAUAUGGCUAGUUUAUUGGGUAAGGAGUACAAUAGCAGAUCGACAGGUACCUACUCGCCCUCCCUGGGAGGCUCUGAGUUUAGGAUCUGUUCCUGCUUGAUCCUAACCUAUGGCGCCUAGGGCCCUUAUAUAUUGGGUCAGCCAACAAUCCUUAACUGACUAGGACUCAACUCUAAUCUAACUAGGACUCUAUCUCCAAUCUAAUUCUGUUACAAUUCUUAACCAACUAGGAGUCUAAUCCUUAUCUAAUUCUAACUGAUCUGCUGAACCUGGAUUAGCUGCCGCUUUGUUCCUUCGGUGGAACUUCUUGCCAAAGAAGUUGUCCACAACAAGCAAUCUGGUCACUAAGAUUGUCCAAAACUCAAUAGAUCAAAAACUGUUCUGAAAAUUGACAGAAACCGAUAGCCAUCAAAAACACACCAUAUCUCCUAAAUCACCAGGCCUAAAAUUACAAUUCUUGAUCCCAAAGAAACAUUACAAAGUCCUUUGCAACAAUAUGAACUUUUCAUUAAUUUACAGGGCCUAAAAAAAAACUAGAUAUAAAUGGAUCAACCCACUGCACAAUCUGAAAAUUCCUGGCGUCCACAAAAUGAUCAAUUAAACAUUCCUAUUUGGAACCUUGCCUCUAAUCGACAUCAACCAACAUUACUAAGACCCAAAACAUCCAAAAUACAUGUUCUACAGCAGAGUAUGGCCUCACCUAGGGUUUAGCCUCGACCAAGACAAAGACAACAGCGAGCACGAGAUGAUCUAGCAUGCCUUCAUGAUCCUCUCCUUCCCCUUGAUCUGUUUUUGCUGAUUCUUCUACGACCCUAUCCUUCCUCCUCCUUGUCCCAUGGCAGCAGGGAGGACCAAAUCAGAUGGGGCGAAAAACCUCAUGGCCAAAUAGAAGAGGAGAGUAGAUUACCUGCAGGAGAGGCACUGACUCGCUGAGCCUUCUCCGAUCUCUCCUCUGCCUUGCCAAUCUGUCUCCUCUGCCUUGCCAAUCUGCAGGAGAGGCACGGAUUGUAUUCGACGAGAGCUACGUGUCUGCGCUGUCUAUUCGCCAAUCCAAGCAACGCAUAAAAA